This 253-nucleotide ribosomal RNA is filed under the name uncultured bacterium. RNAcentral describes it as "partial 16S ribosomal RNA". It matches the Rfam family "Bacterial small subunit ribosomal RNA", at positions 524 to 776 of the family's 1533-position model. The record is from RNAcentral.
UACGUAGGGGGCAAGCGUUGUCCGGAUUUAUUGGGCGUAAAGAGCGUGUAGGCGGCCCGACAGGUCCGUUGUGAAAACUGGAGGCUCAACCUCCAGACGUCGAUGGAAACCGUCUGGCUAGAGUCCGGAAGAGGAGAGUGGAAUUCCUGGUGUAGCGGUGAAAUGCGCAGAUAUCAGGAAGAACACCCGUGGCGAAAGCGGCGCUCUGGGACGGUACUGACGCUGAGACGCGAAAGCGUGGGGAGCGAACAGG